Molecule: ribosomal RNA, 253 nt
Filed under: uncultured bacterium
Lineage: Bacteria
Description: partial 16S ribosomal RNA
Rfam family: Bacterial small subunit ribosomal RNA
Source: RNAcentral
UACGUAGGGGGCAAGCGUUGUCCGGAAUCAUUGGGCGUAAAGAGCGUGUAGGCGGCCAAGCAGGUCCGUUGUGAAAACUGGAGGCUUAACCUCCAGACGUCGACGGAAACCGCGUGGCUAGAGUCCGGAAGAGGAGAGUGGAAUUCCUGGCGUAGCGGUGAAAUGCGCAGAUAUCAGGAAGAACACCAAUGGCGAAGGCAGCUCUCUGGGACGGUACUGACGCUGAGACGCGAAAGCGUGGGGAGCGAACAGG